CCUACGGGAGGCAGCAGUGAGGAAUAUUGGUCAAUGGGCUUACACCUGAACCAGCCAAGUCGCGUGAGGGAAGACUGCCCUAUGGGUUGUAAACCUCUUUUGUCAGGGAGCAACGCCGGCUACGUGUAGCCGGACUGAGAGUACCUGAAGAAAAAGCAUCGGCUAACUCCGUGCCAGCAGCCGCGGUAAUACGGAGGAUGCGAGCGUUAUCCGGAUUUAUUGGGUUUAAAGGGUGCGUAGGCGGAAUGCCAAGUCAGCGGUAAAAUCGCGGGGCUCAACCUCGCUCCGCCGUUGAAACUGGCGUUCUUGAGUGGGCGAGAAGUAUGCGGAAUGCGUGGUGUAGCGGUGAAAUGCAUAGAUAUCACGCAGAACUCCGAUUGCGAAGGCAGCAUACCGGCGCCCAACUGACGCUGAAGCACGAAAGCGUGGGGAUCGAACAGGAUUAGAUACCCGAGUAGUC
Molecule: ribosomal RNA, 460 nt
Filed under: uncultured bacterium
Lineage: Bacteria
Description: partial 16S ribosomal RNA
Rfam family: Bacterial small subunit ribosomal RNA
Source: RNAcentral